Molecule: long non-coding RNA, 769 nt
Organism: Malania oleifera
Lineage: Eukaryota; Viridiplantae; Streptophyta; Magnoliopsida; Santalales; Ximeniaceae
Exons: 2
Source: RefSeq, a predicted model, not a curated record
ACCAUAUAGUUAGGUAGGUCCAUUUUAAUUUGCCUAUAAAAGAGAGCAGCUACCACGAAGAGACUUCAACACCAGAAACAGAGAAUACAUCAAUAUAAACAAAUUAACCAGAAGAGUACUACCAGUACUGCUGUUAACAAGAUGGCUAAGGCACCAUGCAGGCGUCUUCUCCUUGUGGCUUUUGUCUUGCUUUGCUUCAUCGCAGUUAAGCUAAGAGCUCGGAGUUUGCCUAGAACUGUGACUACCGGAGAAGGAGAAAAGGAACGAGUAGAUCGGUCCAUACCGAAAGAAGCUGAGAUGCCGGAAAGUACCGACGAAGACGUGGGUGUGAUAGACUAUACUCCUGCACGAAAGAAGCCUCCAAUUCAUAAUUAAUUAAACUGGGAAUUUAGUAGCUAGCCAGUCCCGCCCCCUUUAGUUUUGUUUCUUAUGUCUUUUUUAUAUCUCCCAUGGAGCUAAUAUAUAUAGCGAUUAUGGUCAGUCUGUAUAGUUUGGUGUACAGUUGGUGAGAUAUUAGAAAAGGGGAAAGAAGAAUUAAUAUAGAAUGGACGGACGAACGAUGGGAUGCAUGCGAAUUGCAAGCCAGAAACAAAUAUGUCGUAUGAUAUAUAGCUAGGUUUAUGAGUUAAUAAUCACCAAAUAGGUUUUUGGGUUUCACUGAAAUUGGGUUAUGGCGAGAUAUUCGAGGUCCUCUGGGAAAAGCUGAAUAUUGCAUGUAACUUGAAAGCACAGCCACUGAUUAAAAGGAAGAAAGAAAUUAACCUUGAAA